AUAGGAUUGGCCCAUGCUAGGUAUUUUAACCCCUGAGCUACCACCCAUAAUUAUAUAGAUUCACUUUACCUUGUCUUUUUAAUCUUUGAGAUUGUUCUUUUGAUGUUCAUGACUCUUUUGAAAUUUAGGACUAUAUACUAGUGAUGUGGACAUGUGGAUAAAUUAAUUGAGGAAGAAAACAAUAAUAUAGGAAGAAAAUGUAACUUUGUUGUGCAACUUAGGAACUUAUAUGACUCGUGAACUUCAUUUGGGCACAAAGAACAUAUAUAGAUGAUCAACGAAGGUGUGUGGCAAUUACCUUACAAGUAGUAAAUGAUUCCAUAAGAUGUAUAACAGUUGAGCAAGUAAUUCUUCUUACAAGAUGCUUCAUUUAAAACACGUUUGGACAUUUCGCAUGGGGGCAUACAAUAACUUAGCACUUAGUAGAGACUGUAACUUCUCAAAUGUAGAGGCAAGGAGUAUAUAAGAUGAUAUGAAUAGUUAAACACUUAGUAUACAAUAUCAAAUGAAAGAGUGCAUAAACAUCCAAACUAAUGAUGCCCGUGACAGAACCCAAGAUGGAGGUCUAUAGCGAUACUGACGUACAAAUCGUUCAUUUGACUUGGGUAUAGGGGUGAAAGACUAAUUGAACCGUCUAUUAGAUAGUUCCCUUCGAAGUUUCCCUCAGAAUAGUUGGAGCUCGCGUGCGAGUUCUAUUGGGUAAAGCCAAUGAUUAGAGGCUUCGUGGGCGCAACACCCUUGACCUAUUCUCAAACUUUAAAUCAGUAAGACGGUGCGACUACUUUGUUGAGUUGCACCACGGAAUCAAGAGCUCAAAGAGGGCCAUUUUUGGGAAGCUGAACUGGCGAUGCGGGAUGAACCAAAAGCCGGCUUAUGAUGCCAAACUGCACGCUAACCAAGAUCCAACAAAGGGUGUUGGUCGAUUAAGACAGCAUGAAGGUGGUCAUGGAAGUCAAAAUUUGCUAAGGAGUGUGUACCAACUAACCUGCCGAGUAUACUAGCCCAAAAAAUAGAUGGCGCUUAAGCGCGCGACCUACACCCAGCCGUCGGGGCAAGUGCCAGACUCCGAUGAGUUGGAGGGAAUGGCGGUCACUGCAAAACCUUGGGCAUGAGCCUAGGUGGAGCAGCCAUCAGUGCAGAUCUUGGUGGUAGUAGCAAAUAUUCAAAUAAGAACUUUGAAGGACGAAAAGGGGAAAGGUUCAAUGAACGACACUAGCACAUGGGUUAGUCGAUCCUAUGGGUCAGGGGAACCCCGAAAGAUAGCCCAUUUCGCACGUACUUUGAAAGGGAAACGGGUAAAAAUUCCUGAAUCAGGACGUGGCGAUUGACGACAACGUUAGGAAGUUGGCAGAUGUCGGUGGGAGCCUCGGGAAGAGUUGUCUUUUCUGUUUAACAGCAUGCCUACCAUGGAGUCAGCUCUGCCGGAGGUAGGGUACAAUGGCUGGAAGAGCACCACACGUCACGUAGUGUUCGGUGCGCUCCCGGCGACCCUUGAAAAUCCAGAGGACUGAAUGUCGUCCACGCCCGGUGGUACUCAUAACCGCAUCAGGUCUCCAAGGUGAAUAACCUCUGAUUGAUGGAACAAUGUAGGCAAGGGAAGUCGGCAAAAUGGAUCCGUAACUUUGGGAAAAGAAUUGGCUAUGAGGGUUUGGCAUGGGGUCCCAGUCCCGAACCCACUAGCUGUCGGUGGACUGCUUGAGUUGAUCCCGCAGAAAUAGCGGGUCGCCGUGGCUGGCAGGGGGACGGACUAGGAACGGUUCCUUUGAGGGCCUUCCCCGGGAGUCCAACAGUCAACUCAGAAGUGGUACUGACAAGGGGAAUCCGACUAUUUAAUUAAAAACAAAUAUUGCGAUGGUCCGAACAGAUGUUUACGCAAUGUGAUUUUUGUCCAGUGCUCUAAAUGUCAAGGUGAAGAAAUUCAACCAUGUGGAGGGUAAAUAGCCGGAGUAACUAUGACUCUCUUAAGGUAGCCAAAUGCCUCGUCAUCUAAUUAGUGAUGCGCAUGAAUGUAUUAACAAGAUUCCCACUUUCCCUGUCUAAUAUCCAGUGAAACCACAGCCAAGGGAAUAGGCUUGGUAGAAUAAACUGGGAAAGAAGACCCUAUUGAGCUUGAGUCUAGUCCGACUUUAUGAAAUGACUUGAGAGGUGUAGCAUAAGUGGGAGUCGAAAGGCAAAAGUGAAAUACCACUGCUUUUUAAUGUUAUUUUACUUAUUUCGUGAAUCGAAAGCGGGAGACUACCCCUCUUUUUGGACCCAUGGCUCGCUUUGCGGGACGAUCCGGGGGGAAGACAUUGUCAGGUGGGGAGUUUGGCUAGGGCAGCACAUCUGUUAAAAGAUAAUGCAGGUGUCCUAAGAUGAGCUCAAUAAGAAUAGAAAAACUGUGUGGAUCAGAAAGAUAAAAGCUCGUUUGAUUCUGAUUUCUAGUACAAAUAUGAACCGUGAGAGCGUGGCCUAAUGAUCCUUUAGACCUUCGAAAUUCUAAGCUGGAGGAGUAAGAAAAGUUACCACAAGGAUAACUAGCUUGUGGUAGCCAAGCUAUAUAGCGAAGUUUAUUUUUUAUCCUUCGAUGUCGUCUCUUCCUGUCAUUGUGAAGCAGAGUUCACCAAGUGUUGGAUUGUUCACCCACCAAUAGGGAACGUGAGCUGGGUUUAGAUCAUCUUGAGACAGGUUAGUUUUACCCUAGUGAUGACAGUGUCGCAAUAGUAAUUAAACCUAGUAAGAGAGAAACCGUUGAUUCACAUAAUUGGUCAUCGCGCUUGGUUGAAAAGCCAGUGGCGCGAAGCUACCGUGUGAUGGAUUAUGACUGAACGCCUCUAAGUCAGAAUCCGGGUAAGAAGCGACGCAUGCGCCUGCCAUCCGCUUGCCGACCCGCAGUAGGGGCCUUUGGGCCCCAAGGGAAUGUUUUGUUAGCUAAGUCACCACGACGGAAGCGUCGCGGUG
This 2940-nucleotide ribosomal RNA is filed under the name Solanum verrucosum. RNAcentral's name for it is "eukaryotic LSU rRNA". It matches the Rfam family "Eukaryotic large subunit ribosomal RNA", at positions 411 to 3258 of the family's 3401-position model. The record is from RNAcentral. Lineage: Eukaryota; Viridiplantae; Streptophyta; Magnoliopsida; Solanales; Solanaceae.